RNAcentral lists this ribosomal RNA (468 nucleotides) under uncultured bacterium. Its description in RNAcentral is "partial 16S ribosomal RNA". It matches the Rfam family "Bacterial small subunit ribosomal RNA", at positions 28 to 507 of the family's 1533-position model. The record is from RNAcentral.
GACGAACGCUGGCGGCGUGCUUAACACAUGCAAGUCGAACGGAAAGGCCCUGCUUUUGUGGGGUGCUCGUGUGGCGAAGGGGUGAGUAACACGUGAGUAACCUGCCCUUGACUUUGGGAUAACUUCAGGAAAGUGGGGCUAAUACCGGAUAGGAUCUCCUGCUGCAGGGUGGGGGGUGGAAAGUUUCGGCGGUUGGGGAUGGACUCGCGGCAUAUCAGCUUGUUGGUGGGGUAGUGGCUUACCAAGGCUUUGACGGGUAGCCGGCCUGAGAGGGUGACCGGCCACACUGGGACUGAGACACGGCCCAGACUCCUACGGGAGGCAGCAGUGGGGAAUAUUGCACAAUGGGCGGAAGCCUGAUGCAGCAACGCCGCGUGAGGGAUGACGGCCUUCGGGUUGUAAACCGCUUUCGCCUGUGACGAAGCGUGAGUGACGGUAAUGGGUAAAGAAGCACCGGCUAACUACGUG